This 253-nucleotide ribosomal RNA is filed under the name uncultured bacterium. Its description in RNAcentral is "partial 16S ribosomal RNA". It matches the Rfam family "Bacterial small subunit ribosomal RNA", at positions 524 to 776 of the family's 1533-position model. The record is from RNAcentral.
UACGAGGGGGGCGAGCGUUGUUCGGAAUUAUUGGGCGUAAAGGGUGCGUAGGCGGUUUGGUAAGUCUCGUGUGAAAUCUCCGGGCUCAACUCGGAGCCUGCACGAGAAACUGCCGGGCUUGAGUGUGGGAGAGGUGAGUGGAAUUCCUGGUGUAGCGGUGAAAUGCGUAGAUAUCAGGAGGAACACCUGUGGCGAAAGCAGCUCACUGGACCAUAACUGACGCUGAUGCACGAAAGCUAGGGGAGCAAACAGG